GAUGAACGCUGGCGGCGUGCCUAAUACAUGCAAGUCGAGCGAACGGACGAGAAGCUUACUUCUCUGAUGUUAGCGGCGGACGGGUGAGUAACACGUGGAUAACCUACCUAUAAGACUGGGAUAACUUCGGGAAACCGGAGCUAAUACCGGAUAAUAUUUUGAACCGCAUGGUUCAAAAGUGAAAGACGGUCUUGCUGUCACUUACAGAUGGAUCCGCGCUGCAUUAGCUAGUUGGUAAGGUAACGGCUUACCAAGGCAACGAUGCAUAGCCGACCUGAGAGGGUGAUCGGCCACACUGGAACUGAGACACGGUACAGACUCCUACGGGAGGCAGCAGUAGGGAAUCUUCCGCAAUGGGCGAAAGCCUGACGGAGCAACGCCGCGUGAGUGAUGAAGGUCUUCGGAUCGUAAAACUCUGUUAUUAGGGAAGAACAUAUGUGUAAGUAACUGUGCACAUCUUGACGGUACCUAAUCAGAAAGCCACGGCUAACUACGUG
RNAcentral lists this ribosomal RNA (497 nucleotides) under uncultured bacterium. Its description in RNAcentral is "partial 16S ribosomal RNA". It matches the Rfam family "Bacterial small subunit ribosomal RNA", at positions 28 to 507 of the family's 1533-position model. The record is from RNAcentral.